RNAcentral lists this ribosomal RNA (253 nucleotides) under uncultured bacterium. RNAcentral's name for it is "partial 16S ribosomal RNA". It matches the Rfam family "Bacterial small subunit ribosomal RNA", at positions 524 to 776 of the family's 1533-position model. The record is from RNAcentral.
GACAGAGGUGCCAAGCGUUAGGCGGAAUCACUGGGCUUAAAGCGUGUGUAGGCGGAUGUCUAAGUACCUUGUGAAAUCCCACGGCUUAACCGUGGAACUGCUGGGUAUACUGGAUGUCUUGAGCCAGCUAGGGGCUACCGGAACAAAUGGUGGAGCGGUGAAAUGCGUAGAUAUCAUUUGGAACGCCAAUGGUGAAAACAGGUAGCUGGGGCUGUGCUGACGCUGAGACACGAAAGCCAGGGGAGCGAACGGG